Non-coding RNA from Nomia melanderi (Alkali bee), 2423 nucleotides. NCBI's taxonomy places the organism in Eukaryota, Metazoa, Arthropoda, Insecta, Hymenoptera, Halictidae. The record is from RefSeq and is a predicted model, not a curated record.
GUUCACUUAAUUAUUAAAUUGUGCGUGAAUGCCGUGAACCAUGUUUAAAUAUGGUGCACGUUUCGCGGUCAAUACCAUUAUUGACUUUUAUAAUCGACUUAUUACCUUUAACAAACAAAUAAUUUAAAUACAACAAAGUAUGCAUUCGACAUUAAUAUAUCAUUAAUAUACUGGCAUAAACAGAUAUCAAUAAAAACUAUCCACAAGAAAUGAAAAUUACACAUUCUCGAAAUAUAACCUAAAAAGUUAGAUUGAUUACAGACUAGUUGGUAUGCUUCAGAUUCGUGAAUAUCUAUAUUAGUACCAUUUAAUAAUAUAGAUAAUACUGUUAAAAAGAACAUCAUGUUUUACCAUAUAUCGCUGGAACAUGAAAUUUUAUUACAUCCUAGGUAUUUUGGUCCUCAAUUGUUAGAUACUGUGAAGCAAAAACUAUACACAGAAGUAGAGGGUACUUGCACAGGAAAAUAUGGUUUUGUAGUUGCUGUAACAACAAUAGAUAAUAUAGGUGCAGGAAUCAUACAACCUGGACAAGGAUUUGUAGUAUAUCCAGUUAAAUAUAAAGCUAUUGUUUUUAGACCAUUUAAAGGAGAAGUAUUGGAUGCUAUUGUGACUCAAGUCAAUAAGGUUGGAAUGUUCGCUGAGAUAGGUCCUCUAUCAUGCUUCAUAUCUCAUCAUUCAAUACCAGCAGAUAUGCAAUUUUGUCCAAAUGUAAAUCCUCCAUGUUAUAAGUCCAAGGAAGAGGAUGUUAUUAUUCAACCAGAUGAUGAAAUCAGAUUGAAAAUUGUUGGUACAAGAGUUGAUGCCACUGGUAUUUUUGCUAUUGGGACAUUGAUGGAUGAUUAUUUAGGUCUUGUAUGCACCUAAGUGAGAUAAACAACUUUGUCAUAUUAAAAUAAAAGUUUUACAGUAUUUUUUACAAAGUAACUGUGUGCAUAUUUUUGAAAGGAACAUUGGAAUGAUCUUGCUAAUGUAUUACAAGCGACUAGAAUUACAAACAUAAAAUUUAAGUUUUCACAUAGCUCUAGUAACAUAAACACAAUGCAGUAUACUUUCACUUUAGUACAUAAUUUAUUCGUUUAUUGUCAUUACACGAAACGUUUAUGUGUUCUUCUACGUGGGGAGUUUUACAAACAGAAUUAAAAAAAUAUGUUAAAAUUAAAUUAUGUGCUGUGACACAUGGUACGAUUUGCAUUUUCUUUAUAUUUAUUUUAUUUCUGAACAAAGAUUACUUGCAUAAGUAUCCAAAUCUAAUAAUGGUACAAAUAAGGCUAAUUUUGCUGCUAUAGGAGUUUUUUCAUAUUUACUCUGAUCAGGCAUCAUCUUAUCAACAACGUGUUUAAAUACUUUACCGUCAUUAUUGACGUAAAAUGUAGAAAAACCGUCGUACCACCUAUUGACAAGAUUUCAUAGUUUAAUUGAUAUAAGAAAUUCGUUUAUCAAACAAGAAACUGAUAAAAUUUACUUACACGUGUUUAUCAUCAUCAUUAUCUUUCGUGGAUCGAUAUUUCCAAAAUAGAAAUAUGUAUGAAUCAGGAAUACCAAUUAUACGCCAACGGACUUUAAUACUACUGUCUUCCGGGUGCAUAGUUAUUUUUAAAAUAUUUAACUUAACAUAAACGAAUUUUAUACGAGCUAUUAUUCUUAACAAUGCUAUUUGCAUCACAUAAUGAUUAAUUCCUCUAAAAAUAAAAUACCAAGAACCUGUAUUAUUCAUUUAUACAAUAUAUUUUGGAUCAGGAAUAUUUCAAAUUGUAUAGCUACUAUUGUUUACUUACACGCCUUCUGUUCCUCUAAUAUUGUUUAUAAAUACCACAUCAGUUGUAUAUAUUGUAUAGUCCAUUAUCUUAACAAAUAGCUGUGGUAACUAGAAAAAGAAAAAGCUUUAUGCAAGAUAAAUCAACUUAUAUACAGUGCAAAUACAUACAUCUCUACUAAGGCAGUCAAAUAUAUGUUGCAACUGUGCUUCAGAUGGUAUCCGAUUCUCUGAUGGCUGCUCUUUACUCAUAUUUUGCACAUUAGGAGAUCCAUCUGUAUGAAGAAUACUUUUCUUUAUAGAAUUAGGUGAAUUAAUUAGGUACCUAUUAAUUGAUAGCACCUCACUAUGAGGUAAACAUGACUUAUUAUUUGCAUAAAGCCCAUUAUGAUCUACAUGUAGUUUUAAUUGUUGAUCAUCAUUGCUUAAUACAAUCUUAUUUUCAGAAGUAAUAUUAUUUAUGUUCAUUGACUGAGUGUCUGUUUGUCUUUGACGUUGCAUCCAUAUCGAUCGUUGUUGAUUCCAAUUACAUUUUUCAUUUAGUUCAUCCGGCCAGUUAGUACAAAUAUCAAAGUAAUUAAUUAAUGAAUAUUGGCCCAUCAAAGAAGUCUUCGAAUUUAGAUAUUUAUCUCCAUAAUUCAUUACCACACAUGUUGCCACUGAUGAGUUU